RNAcentral lists this ribosomal RNA (953 nucleotides) under Hyalinoecia artifex. RNAcentral's name for it is "partial 16S ribosomal RNA". It matches the Rfam family "Bacterial large subunit ribosomal RNA", at positions 683 to 2604 of the family's 2925-position model. The record is from RNAcentral. Lineage: Eukaryota; Metazoa; Annelida; Polychaeta; Eunicida; Onuphidae.
CUUUGCAAGAAAAAUAAUAAUCUUAUACCUCCGAAAAUUAGUGAGCUGCCUAUAUUCCGUUAAGAACCUAUUAAUGAAUGUUUCAAUAUUCUUAAAAGAAAUAUACACAGAGGCUACAUACCUAUCGCACUAAUAUAUUGCUGAUAUUUCCUAAACCAGCCUUAGCUGUAAAAACUGCUAAAUAAAAAUACCCCUAAAACAGUUCUUCAAAAUAAAGAAGGACAAGCUUCUUUAUUCCAUUACACCCAUUAAAUAUAAAGUAGGCCUAAAAUCAGCCACCCACAAUCACGUUAUAUUAAUAAAAUAAACCCAAUUUCAAAUAAAAAAAGAAAUAUAUACUUUAACCAAAAAUAUAGCAAUAAUGCAAAGACUAAUAUCUAAAAUAUACAACUCUAUAUCUCCCAUAUAUGCCUAAGGAACUCGGCAAAUUAGAAUCCGCCUGUUUAACAAAAACAUAGCCUGAUGACCCAUCAUACCAGGUAAACUCUGCCCAGUGAAUUUUCAACGGCCGCGGUAUCCUGACCGUGCAAAGGUAGCAUAAUCAUUUGCCCCCUAACUAGGGGCUAGUAUGAACGAGUUAACGAGAUUCUCACUGUCUCAAGCAUAAGACUAUAAACUAGCCUUUAGGUGAAGAGACCUAAAUUUAUUUAAAAGACAAGAAGACCCUGUCGAGCUUUAAUAUAACAAAGAAACACACAUAUUCUCUCUUUUUAUAUAUUUUUGUUGGGGCGACAAAGGAAUAUAUAAAACUUCCUAAUAUAAAAGACUCCAAGUCAAUCCAUAGACCCACUCAUAGUGAUCAAAGAAUAAAGCUACCGCAGGGAUAACAGACUAAUUCUCCUCAAGAGCCCAAAUCUACAGGAGAGAUUGGCACCUCGAUGUUGGCUUAGGAUAUCUUUCAGGGGUAGAAGCCUGACAAGAGGGUUUGUUCAACCCUUAAUUUCCUACAUGAG